AUUGAACGCUGGCGGCAUGCCUAACACAUGCAAGUCGAACGGCAGCACAAUAAAGAUUUCGGUCUUUAUGGGUGGCGAGUGGCGGACGGGGGAGUAACGCGUAGGAAUCUGUCCUGGAGAGUGGGAUAACCCGAGGAAACUCGGGCUAAUACUGCAUGACAUUGAGAGAUUAAAAGCAGGGGACCGAAAGGCCUUGCGCUCUGGGGUGAGCCUACGUCGGAUUAGGUAGUUGGUGGGGUAAAGGCCUACCAAGGCGACGAUCCGUAGCUGGUCUGAGAGGAUGACCAGCCACACUGGGACUGAGACACGGCCCAGACUCCUACGGGAGGCAGCAGUGGGGAAUCUUGGACAAUGGGGGAAACCCUGAUCCAGCGAUGCCGCGUGUGUGAAGAAGGCCUUCGGGUUGUAAAGCACUUUAGGUGGGGAAGAAAGGUAGCGAGUGAAUAACUUUCUGCUGUGACGGUACCCACAGAAUAAGCACCGGCUAACUCUGUGCCAGCCGCCGCGGUAA
This 511-nucleotide ribosomal RNA is filed under the name uncultured bacterium. RNAcentral describes it as "partial 16S ribosomal RNA". It matches the Rfam family "Bacterial small subunit ribosomal RNA", at positions 30 to 523 of the family's 1533-position model. The record is from RNAcentral.